Molecule: ribosomal RNA, 206 nt
Filed under: uncultured bacterium
Lineage: Bacteria
Description: partial 16S ribosomal RNA
Rfam family: Bacterial small subunit ribosomal RNA
Source: RNAcentral
ACGCUCGACACCUACGGGGGGCAGCAGUGGGGAAUAUUGCACAAUGGGGGAAACCCUGAUGCAGCGACGCCGCGUGAGCGAAGAAGUAUUUCGGUAUGUAAAGCUCUAUCAGCAGGGAAGAAAAUGACGGUACCUGACUAAGAAGCCCCGGCUAACUACGUGCCAGCAGCCGCGGUAAGUACUCGAGGCGGGCGUGGCGAAGGACG